Molecule: long non-coding RNA, 5422 nt
Organism: Sarcophilus harrisii (Tasmanian devil)
Lineage: Eukaryota; Metazoa; Chordata; Mammalia; Dasyuromorphia; Dasyuridae
Source: Ensembl
UUUUUAUUAAUAAUCGUUAUUAACACCAAUAACAGCAGCAGUUACAUUGUGCUCGCCAAGUGCUUUACAACCAGAAUCCCAUUGGUCCUCACACAGCUCUGGGAGGGGGGUGCUAUUAUGGUUCCCCUGUACAGAUGGGGAAACUGAGGCCAGCAGGCUGCCCGGUUUGUGCCCGGCUCGCGCCGCUAGAGUGUCUGAGGUUGGAUUUGAACUUGCAUCUCAGAGCUUUGUCAGAUGCGUAUUUAUAAGUUAUCUAAAUAUACAGGCGGGAUCCCCUGCGGUGGGGACGCAUAGAGCCGCAGGCCCCGUCCGCCCUUCCAGAGCACGCGAAGGGGCCGGCUGCAGCGCCCCGCGCCAGCCGGGGACCAAGGGCCGGCGGCCAACGCUUCCCUCUGUCUUCGGGGAAGGUGCCGGGCCAGGAGGAAACGCUUCUCCCGUCGCUCCCGUCUCCGGCCGGGGAUGCGCCGCUUCUCCGAGGCUUCUGGUCAAUAUAAGCCCUUCCGGUGGGCCUGCCCGCGCCGAGGACGCCCUCGGGCCGCUAACAAAACCCGGACCGGACCGGUGGGGAGAGCGCCCCCCUCAGGCCCUGGGGCGCCAUCCACAAUGGCGGCCUUACUGGGCCUGCGGCAGCAGUGACCGCGCCUGCUCCUGGGCCCAGCCCCCUCCGCCGGCCGGUCCCACAGGGAGCCUGGGAAGGCCCGGCUCCGGCCCAGCCAUCCCUGUCCUGUCCUGCCCGCCCGGCAGGGCCCGCUCAUGGCACAAGGAGGCUCCGAAAGGCGCAGGCCGUGGGGCCCCGCGAACAAGCGGGGCUCAGCCUCUGCCCCGCGGCCCUUACGCGGCCGGCUCGCCAGGGAGUAGCGUCCCGGAGGUGCCCGGUGGGUGCUCGAGGAGGUAACGUUUGCCCUCUGACUGCCCCGCCCCCCAGGACUCGCCUGGCAGGUUCAAAGGCAAGCUGAGAAACGGGAACCAUCCGACUCAAAGGCAGGGACUUGUCAGGACUUUUAAAACGAGACGGAAAAGCCACCAGCUUUGGGCUCUACAUCCACCAUCUCCAAUUCCCAGCCUUAAAACUUAAAUGUCCAUCAAAUAAUCAAGCAUUUAUUGAGUACCUAUUGUUUUCUAUCUUCCUGAAUUCAAACCUGGCCUCUGACAGUUCCUAGCUGUGUGAUCCUGGGCAGGUCACUUAACUCUGAGUGCCUCAGUUUCCUCAUCUGCCAAAUGGACUGGAACAGGAAAUGGUAACCCCCUCCAGGAUCUUCAUCAAGAGUUCUGUGUGGAAUGGAGAGACAAGGUGAAGAACUUACAGGAAUAUGUGAAUUCUUUUUCUGUAGUUUAUUUUCAUUAUUUCUGUGUUUCCCCUAUGAACUGUAUAAUAAUGCAGCCCCAUAUGUACUUGAGCCUUGGCCAACUAUAAACAUAUUUAUUUAACCUGAGCUGAAGACAUUUAUCGGUAUUUAACGUUUAUCGAUAUUUAGUCUAUUAGCUUGACCACAGUCUAUCUGAAGCCUGAAAGCCUGAUUUUCUGUUUCCUAGAAAUUAGGUGAUUUUGGGGAAAUGGAAAUCUUCCAUCCCAAUUUCUCCAGAUAGCAACAAUUAAUUAGAAGCCUCCCCCUCCCCUUCUCAAUGCUCUCUUAUGUGUGAUGUAAUCUCUUGUAUAAAAGCUGUGUAUCUUUACUACUUCUUUAGCCUCCUACCAGGAGCUUUCUCUUUCCCCUAUCUUGUGAUAGAACAGCUCAUCCUCCGGAGGUAUAAUAAGUGACCUUUCUGCUCUCUAUUUUGAGUGAUCUCUGAGUAGUCAUUUUGGGUAAAGGUCUUCUAUAUCCCACCCAGUUGGGGGCUCGUCCGGGAUGGAGUCUUUGGGGGAGAUGGCUGUGUACCCUGGAGAGGGACAGGUGCCCAUGGAGUAGUUUUCUCCAUGGUCUCUGGCUCUGGGUGAGCAGCCUCCCUCUGUCUUAGACAAUGACCCAGGGCAGAGUUACUCAGUGGAAAGCAGAAUUGAAGACUGAAGAUUGAAGGAAGUAGAGUCCUGAUGGCCGGCAUGUGCAGCUUCAAAGAUAUAUCUAGAAGUAUUGGGUACUUUGUAAACUAUAUUAUAAGUUUUAUGAAAUUUGGAUCAAAAUUGUGAAUCUUGAAAUUUAUAAUUUACAAAAAGGUGACUUAAAGACAAGAGAAAAGAAAGAUUGAUUUCCAAAAGCAAUUAAUAGUUUAAAUGGAGUAUCUAGUCAGAAGGGUUAUUGGUUUGGGAGUGUUUAAAGUAUGGCGGAGAAGGUUUGAGCAAGUAGACCUUGGGAGGAGAGAGAGAUAAAGAGAUGGGAUAGGAGAAUGAAGGUGAUUUAAGAAGGAUUGAUUAGUAGGAGCAAAUGAUUCCAAGAAGAAAUCAGUGGGAAAACGAAGGAAUUGGUUGGAAAGGGGAGUCACGGAGAGAUGGCUGGGAGACGGGAUGUGUUUUUGCUGGGGGGGAGCAGCAGAGCAACAGUGGAAAGUUACAGCUGCUUUUGGCUGAAGAAAGCAAACUAUGAUUUAAAGGGACAGACUGCUCUUACAAGAUGUUAAUUGAUUGAACAUUUGUUUCUUUAGAUACAUAAUGUUAUGAAUAUUAAACAAUAUGAUCAGAAAUGUUAUAUAUAUAGUUUGAAAGGGUUAUUUCAAAAAAAGUUUAAUUGAUAUUUUCAAGAACUUUUCAAAUUCUUUUAUGUGAAAAUGGGAAGUUUUAAUGAACUGUAUUGAUGCCAAUCAUCUGAAAGGGACUCCAAGAAUAAUAGUUUUUGCCUUCGUCCUUUUGAAAAUGUUUUUGUUGUGAACAAUAUGUAGUUUGGGAUUUUUCUGUGUAUUGGGUAUUUUAAAAGCAAAAUGACUGAUAUAAUAUUCAACUUAUUCAAGAUUCAACAUCUACUUGGGUUUGUAAGAAUUGCGUGAAUUUUCUGGGACCGAUAGAAGGUUAUGGUAAAUAUCUGUUUAGGACAUGUCUGAAACUUGGUUAAUAGAAUUUGUUAUAAGAAGUAAAAUUCUUUGGAUUUAUAAUUAAUGCUAUUUGAGGGUUUACAGCUCCACCCUCUGACAGUUAAUGAGACAAUUAACGGGAGUAAAAAUGAAUUAAAGCUAUUUUAAACUGUUUUGCUGAAAGUUAAGUUUUAACUGCUUAUGUUAUGUUAUAGUUAUGUUCUUGCAUUUUUUCUUCCUGUGACUGAUUUCUAUGAUCAGAGCAAUGGUCGAUAGAAACUUAAUGCAAUUCAAUUAUGUCAUACCUUGUUGUUUCCAACCUGGUUAUAUGUAAUCAUUAUAUCCUAAAUGCUUAGGCAAAUAAGUAUUUAGCCUGGUCAUCUGUCUGUUAUUGGAUAUUUGGGUUUGUUUUUAAAACCUUUUAAAAGGUUUCUAAAUGAUAAGAGGACAAUUAACAAUGGUCUGUGAAAUUUAACUGCUGUUUUAUUUAUUGGGAAUAUAGUUGACAGCUGUUUGGCUGUCUUGUGAAAGAAAUUCCUCUUCACAUUUGGUGAAUCAAGUCUUUCUAUCUCAGACUGUUCUAACCUUGUUAGAUUUGGUUGUUCUAGAUUUAGGUCAAAUAACAGAUUAUUGAAUGACAUGAAUCGGCCCAUCUGAAGCUUAGAUUGACGCUAGACCCGCACCUUGCAUGGAUUGAGAGCCUUUGCCCAUUUCUCAGCCCGAAGCAGCUGAGACUGAGACCAUCGCCCCUGCUCCUGUUGUAAUUUGGACUGAUAUGGGGGAAGUGGGAAAGUGGUUGAAUUAUUGUUAAACUGUAUUACCGUGUGUUUAAGAUUUGGGAUGGAAAUUGUUACAUUGUGUAAUUAUUGCUAUUAUGGAUAUAUAGGAACUUUCUAUGUGGGAUGGUUAAUUGAUGCUUUAGCUUUGAGAUCCCUUAUUCUGUUGGAAUUGCUCUGGCAGACUAUUCUCUGAUUGCCUGUUUUUAGGAAAUCUCCAAGAUAUAGAUACCUGUCCUGGGACUGGCAGUCUCCAGCCCUGUAACCCCAGUUUCUUAAUUGGUAUCUCUGCAUUCUCAAAGGACGUUUCGGGCUCUAAAGUUUGGAGUUUGUCUGCCUUGAUGGUCUAACUGUAUGCUCUGAUAGCUCUGCUCAGAAAUCUGUAUCCUAGUAGCAGCCCUGUCUGUACCUCUGAGUGGUGACAGGUGGAGCUACUCCAAGCCUCACCCUUCUCCCCUGGAGUGGGGGUGCCUCUCUGAAUGGGCAGAAUGACUGUCUCAAGCCCUGCUACUCCCUAUAUAAGAAGAAGCUGAGUUAAGUGCACAAAUGACUGCAGACUAUCUAACACAGUGAACCGUCCAUCUCAACCUGGAUUCUCUGGCUGAGAUGAGGGCCUUUAUACUGCUGAUAACUCUGGGGUUGUCAGGAAGACAACCCCAAUGGAAGGUUGCCCUUGCCAUAAGUUCUUACCUUGGGUUGGUCAAAAUUAUGGUACUGAGACCUCCCAGGUAUCUAGGGGAGAUAAUUCAAUAAUUCAGAUAUUCAGAAGGAGAGUGUGUAAUGUUGUGCCUCAGUUUCCCUAGAUUGUCAUCUUUAUUAAUUUAUCAUUUUUUUUAUGUCUGCCAAAUGCCAUUCUGUUCUGUGAUAACUGUUUCUAAGAUAGUUAAUGGAAGCAAUUUUUAUGGUAUGGACUUAUUGCAAUCAGUGACAUUAUCCUGUUGCCACUAUGUCUACCCUGUAUAAUUACAUUAGUAACCACAAUAGUUCAAAAUUAUUAUGCUAUGCUAUUAAAAUGAUUCUUCAGAGAAAAGGCUGGAAUGUAUUAGAGAAGGAUGAUCUUGAUGGCGAACUUGAUAAACCUGUAUAGAUAUGUUAACUGAUUUUGAACAGUGUGUAAGUUCUUCAUAGCAAUAUGAUAAAAAUCAUUUACAUAUAACAAGAGGGGAAUUGUGUAGAAUAGAGAGAUAAGGUGAAGAACUUCCAGGAAUAUGUGAAUUCUUUUUCUGUAUUUUGUUUUCAUUAUUUCUGUGUUUCCCCUAUGACCUGUAUAAUAUGUGUAGGCCCAUAUGUACUUGAGCCUUGGCCAGCGAUAUCUGAAACCUGAAGUCCUGAUUUUCUGUUUCCUAGAAAUCAGGUGAUUUCGGGAAAAGAGAAACCUUCCAUUUCAAUCUCUCCAGAGAGUAACAGCCAAGUAGAUGCCCCCUCCUCCCCUUCUCGAUGCUCUCUUAUUGUGAUGUAAUCUAUAAAAGCUUUGUAUCUUUGCUACUUCUUUUGGCCUCCUACCAGGAGCUUUCUCUUUCCCUUGUCUCGUGAUAGAAGGACUCAUCCUCCAGAGGUAUAAUAAAUGACUUUUCUACUUUCUAUUUUGAGUGAUCUCUGAGUAGUCAUUUUGGGUAAGGGUCUUCUAUUCUACAUCCCACACAAUUCCAAAUGGGAUCAUGAAGAGUCGAACACAAAUGAAAGAUGACUGAACAAUAUCACGUUUC